AUGCAGGCUACUGUUCAAGGAGUACAGGCAAUUAAAUCUAUUUUGCAAGCAUAUGAGGAAAGCUCAGGACAAGUUAUUAACAGAGAAAAGUCCUCGGUGAUGUUUAGUGCUAAUGCAAAACAAGGGAUUAAAAAUAUGUUGCUGCAGGAAUUACAAUUGGGGGCUAAGACCAAUGAAGGAAAAUAUUUGGGAUUGCCCACUUACAUUGGCAAGUCGGUGAAGAAGUGCUUUGCAUAUUUGAAGGAUAGUAUUUUGAGCAGAUUGCAGGGAGGGAUGAAAAGAUGCUUGUCCAUGGCAGGUAAAGAAGUCUAUGUUAAAGCUAUCGCUCAAGCUAUCCCGACCUACGCAAUGGCUUGUUUUGAUCUAUCUAAGUCUCUCUGUGAUGAGAUCAGCCGAUUUAUAUGCCGAUAUUGGUGGAGUCAGCAAGCCGAUGAAAGGAAGAUGCAUUGGAUUGGAUGGGAGAAAAUGAAGUUAUCAAAAGAGGAAGGUGGACUGGGCUUCCGUGAUCUGCACUCUUUCAAUAUGGCCAUGUUAGCACGGCAGGGGUGGAGACUCAUACAAGCCCCGGAUUCACUUUGUGCACAAGUGCUACGAGCCAAGUAUUACCCUUCUGGCAAUGUUCUAGCUGCUGAACCUAUCAUUGAAAUGAGUUAUGUGUGGCGCAGUAUUCUCAAAGGUUUAGAGGUGCUGAAGGAAGGGAUAAUCUGGCGUAUUGGUGACGGGACGAAGGUGAGGAUCUGGGAGGAUCCGUGGAUCCCCAGAGGUGCAACUCGUAUGCCUGCAUCGUACCAAGGUGCAAAUCUUCUGUCAAGGGUUUCAGAAUUGAUGGACCCGGACACUGGAAGCUGGGACCGCGGCCUAGUUGAGGGAUGUUUUCAUGCUGAUGAUGUCCAGGCAUUUUUAAGCAUACCAAUCUGUGACCAAGCUGAUGAUUUUGUGGCGUGGCAUUUCAAUAGUAAAGGUUGUUUUUCAGUUAAAUCUGCUUAUAAAGUACUCCCUCUGUUCGGAAUUACCUGUCUCGGAAAUAGAUGUAUCUAG
Molecule: ribosomal RNA, 1038 nt
Filed under: Triticum aestivum (bread wheat)
Lineage: Eukaryota; Viridiplantae; Streptophyta; Magnoliopsida; Poales; Poaceae
Description: partial small subunit ribosomal RNA
Source: RNAcentral